UAUCCUGAAAUGUGCGACAACUCUUAUUAUUUUGAACCUACAUUUACUUUAAACGGGAUUCCUAUAUUGUCAUAUGGAUGUCAGGCCUUACCCACGGGUCAGAGGAAGGCAGAAGUAUGGUUGCGGUUGCCCACCUGGCGUUAGCUAGGAGUCAAAGUAUAAGAGCCGGCAUUUUGGGU
RNAcentral lists this non-coding RNA (179 nucleotides) under pig gut metagenome. RNAcentral describes it as "6S / SsrS RNA". It matches the Rfam family "6S / SsrS RNA". Rfam says of the family: E. coli 6S RNA was the first non coding RNA to be sequenced, but its function was unknown until recently. The record is from RNAcentral.